This 340-nucleotide ribosomal RNA is filed under the name uncultured Pseudomonadota bacterium. RNAcentral describes it as "bacterial SSU rRNA". It matches the Rfam family "Bacterial small subunit ribosomal RNA", at positions 30 to 351 of the family's 1533-position model. Lineage: Bacteria; Pseudomonadati; Pseudomonadota. The record is from RNAcentral.
AUUGAACGCUGGCGGCAUGCCUUACACAUGCAAGUCGAACGGCAGCACGGGAGCAAUCCUGGUGGCGAGUGGCGAACGGGUGAGUAACGCGUAAGUAAUCUACCCCUGUAUUUGGAAUAACCCACCGAAAGGUGAGCUAAUACCGGAUACGUUCAGGCUGGUGCGAAUCAGUUUGAAGAAAGAUGGCCUCUUCUUGAAAGCUACUGUACAGGGACGAGCUUGCGUACCAUUAGCUAGUUGGUAGGGUAAUGGCCUACCAAGGCGACGAUGGUUAGCGGGUCUGAGAGGAUGAUCCGCCACACUGGAACUGGAACACGGACCAGACUCCUACGGGAGGCAG